This 253-nucleotide ribosomal RNA is filed under the name uncultured bacterium. Its description in RNAcentral is "partial 16S ribosomal RNA". It matches the Rfam family "Bacterial small subunit ribosomal RNA", at positions 524 to 776 of the family's 1533-position model. The record is from RNAcentral.
UACAGAGGUGGCAAGCGUUGUUCGGAAUUACUGGGCGUAAAGGGCGCGUAGGCGGCCUACUAAGUCAGACGUGAAAUCCCCCGGCUUAACCUGGGAACUGCGUCUGAUACUGGAAGGCUUGAGUAUGGGAGAGGGAUGUAGAAUUCCAGGUGUAGCGGUGAAAUGCGUAGAUAUCUGGAGGAAUACCGGUGGCGAAGGCGGCAUCCUGGACCAUUACUGACGCUGAGGAGCGAAAGCCAGGGGAGCAAACGGG